Molecule: long non-coding RNA, 5476 nt
Filed under: Homo sapiens (human)
Lineage: Eukaryota; Metazoa; Chordata; Mammalia; Primates; Hominidae
Description: HSALNT0251788
Source: RNAcentral
GAAAAAGAAACUGAGAUUAUAAAUACUUGUGGUUCAAACUGCUAAAUUUGGGGGUAUUUUGUUAGGCAGCAACAGAUAACUAAUACAAGGGCAAAGAUUUAAGGUACAAUUAAAGUUGCCGCUUGCAUGUGGGGAGCUCACUAUCUGGUAAAUGCUUCUGUUGUUGACCAUCACUGGAAAGUCAAGAUGUGAUACCAUCAUGUUUGUUAUUUCCUGAUAAAGGGCUCCCACAGUUUCCAAGCUUCAGUUUUGUUCCACCUAUUAUUUGUUUUUUCAUUUAAUUUUUGGAAUAAGUAAUACAUGCAAAUGGUACAACCUUCGAAAGGUACAAAAGGGUAUUAAGUGUCAGCCUUGGCCAGAUAAGGUGGCUCACGCCUGUAAUCCCAGAACUUUGGGAAGCCAAGGUAGGAGGAUCGCUUGAGCCCAGAAGUUCGAAACCAGCUUGGCCAACACGGCAAAACCCUGUCUGUACAAAAACUACAAAAAAUUAGCUGGGCAUGGUGGCACAUGCCUGUAAUCCCAGCUACUUGAGAAGCCGAGGUGGGAGGAUCACUUCAGCCUGGGAGGCGGAGGUUGCAGUGAGCCGAGAUCCCACCGGUGCACUCCAGCUUGGGCAACAGAGUGAGACCCUGUCUCAAAAUAAAUAAAUAAAUAAAAAAUAAAGUGUCAGUUUUCCUGCCUCCUUUUAACCCAGUUACCCAACUCUCCUACCCAAAGGCACGGGCCAUCACCAGUUUAUUGGUUAUCUUUUUAGAAAUCAUCUUUGUGUUUACAAACAUAUAUAUUCAUGUUUCUUUUUUCCCCUGGAACAAAUGACAGUGGAAUUUGACUUUCAAUGGCCUGUCUCAGGAAGAUGGUAGAUAUAUAACAGAUUGAAAUCUUACAUAGUUUCUGCAUUGGAUUCCUGCAUUGGAUUCCAGCUUUCAAUAGAUAAGAAAUUAGCCUGGCUAGGCACUGUGGCUCACACCUGUAAUUCCAGCACUUUCAGAUGCUGAGCCGGGCAGAUUGCUUGAACCCAAAAGUUCAAGACUAGCCUGGGAAACAUAGCGAAAUCCCAUCUCUACAAAAAAUGUAAAAAUCAGCUGGGUGUGGUGGCACAUGCCUAUAGUCCCAGCUACAUGGGAGGCUGAGGUGGGAGGAAUCACUUGAGCCCAAGAGGUCAAGGCUGCAGUGAGCUGUGAUCACACCACCGUACUCCAGCCUGGGCGACAGUGAUACCCUAUUUAAAAAAAAAAAAAAAAGCCUGAGAAAACAGUUGGAAAGGAAGAUAACAGAUUGCAUAACGAUCGGCCUGGAGUAGGACUUAGAGAAGCCAUCUGGAGUAUUGAAGACAUCCAGAUGAACUGCUUUUGAAGAAGCUUCCACAGUGGAGUAUCUUGUUGACCUUUGAGGGAAGGGGGGUGAAAAUAACAUAUUAGGAAAUGUCCUAGACAGUUGUUCCAGCCUUUUCUCCUAUUAUUUUCUAGCCAACUUCUCCCAAAGAAGGCUUCACAUUGUGAAAAAUAAUUGCUUUUUUCUUUCUUUUUUUUUUUUUUUAGUGACUUGGUUCCAGUCACUUUUAAGGAUCUAAGGUGACUCUGAGUUAGACAGGAAAUGAGUCCUGAGAACAGAUAUGAGGAGGAAAGAAAAGGGCUUGCUGUUUUAUUUCCCCUCCUUUCUCUCACCUCAGUGGGCAGAUCUGGGUGACUGUGGUUGAUUGUGUGGGUGGGCUCCCACCCUCCAAAACAAGUCACUCUUUCCCUGCCUGGCCCUGAGACCUCCGUCACUUGUCUUAACCUCUUCAUGUCUCUGUUUCUUUCCUGCAAGGUGAAGGUCAUUAAACGAGAUAAUUAAAAUUACUUUCAAGAGUGGUAGAAGCCUAAUUCACGUGAACUCACAUGAAUGCGAGGUGGUACUAUUACAGUCAUUACCUUUAAAAUUAUAGCAGCAUGCCCAACAAGACACAGUGGAGGCAAAGGGUCGUUGGACAGAACUCAGCUGAAUGCCAAUGUUAGUUUUGUUUCCUUAACGUGUAGUAUCGGUUCCAAAUGGAAUUGAAUCAUCAAGUAUGCUUACCUGGUUUAUUAUGCCAAGUAACAAGAUUGGCCAAUCCUUCUUAUUUAUUGUUCAGAAACUAUAGAAGAAAGCAGCCAACAAAUGAUGAUGGUUUUUCAGUGACUCAUGCCUCCUUUGAUUAGAAUCCAAUGUAGCCUACUCCUUAUCCUGGCAUCAUUACUAGAUAUUGCCUUUUAUUUUGACUAAUGGAGCACAUGAAUGGAUAGAUUUUAAAGAAAUGCCUAGGCUGGGGUUUAAAUAUGGUGGUGAUUGAUUGGGCUCCUAAAAAGGUGACAUUAGAGCUAGGACAGUAAGGUGAGGGGCUAAGCCUUGUGGCUACGGGGGAAGAGCAUUCCAGGUACAGGAACAGACACUGUGUGGCCCCAAGCUCCAGGACCAGGGAGACAGCAGGGUGGCUGUAGAUGAGAGGGAAAGAGAGCAGGUAGAUUUUGGGUUUUACUCUGAGAGAAGUGAGAACCCACUGCAGAGUUUCGAGCCGAGGAGUAACUCCAUCUGAUUACCUUUGGAAAGAAUCAGCCUGCCCUCCAUGUUGGAGCUAGACUGAAGGGCAUGCUGUCUGGGGCUACCUCUAAUCCGGGUGAGGGAGAACAGAGCUUCAGCCAAGCAGCUUGCAGGGAGGUGAGGAGAGGUUUUAGGUUCUGGAAACAUUUGGAAGGCAGAGCCUAGGGCUUACGGAUGAAUAGGGAGCAGGGUAGGAGGGAAGAUGAGACUCCAGCAUGACUCUAGGUGUUUGGCAUGAGCACCUGGGAGAUGGGGUUGCCUUUUACUGACGUGAGGAAGCCUGGGGGAUAAUGGAGUUAUGAGGGAAAUUGAGGGGUUCAGUCUUAGGUUUGAGUAGACACUUGAAGUUUGAAAUUUAGCUUCCUUUGGCUAAAUAUGGAAACAUUUGGGGGAACCACCCUCUUCUUGAAUAAAAUGCUAAUAAGUGCGUAUAGAAUGUCAGGGCCAAAUAAGAACCCUUGCAGAGUUCAGCUGCCUGCAGCAGUUGCUAAGGCUAGAAACUGGGCACCUUUUUCAAUGUUUUUCCUCCCAGACCCCCUGCCCGGAUGAAGUGAGUUGUAAAAUGCUGCCUCUGCCUCUGAAAGUUCUGCCAGAAAUCCCACCCUUUCUGUCUGCACCACCUUAUUAGCCUCCGCCUUUGGCCCCUGUUGCCAGAGGACAGUAAGGACUUUCUGCACUCUUGUCUUGGCCACAGAUUAACACCAUCUUUUCCUGGAGUCCUUGGUCAGGGUUAUCAUUUCUUUCUUUUCUUUUUUUUUUUUUUUUUAAGACAGAGUCUCGCUCUGUCACCCAGGCUGGAGUGCAAUGGUGUGAUCUUGGCUCACUGCGUCCUCUGCCUCCUGUGUUAAGAGAUUUUCCUGCUUCAGCCUCCUGAGUAGCUGGAAUUACAGGCAUGCACCACCACACCCAGCUAAUUUUUGUAUUUUUAGUAGAGAUUUGUUAGUAGAGCCUCUGCCUCCCGUAGUGUUGGAAUUACAGGCAUGAGCCACCGCUCCAGGCCUAGGGUUAUCAUUUCUAAAAUGCAAAUCUGAUUAAAACAGUUCAUGUUGUUGAGGCCCCAGCCUCUUUGCACAGAUGGAUCCUGCACUUCUGCUCCCCACCUCCUCACCUCUGCAGGUGCUUCAACUUCAGGAACCAACUCACUUCUUCCAGAAUAGCUUCCUAGGCCCCCUUCCCUGCUCUAUGUCCUCAUCGUCCCUGUUACUUCUCCAUCACAGCAGAGAGGCUUCUGUGCGCCGAAUUCCUAGGGUCUGCCUUACCUUAGACUUUAAGCUUCAUAGGGACAGGAGCCACGUUGCUCACCAGCAGCUGACUGAAUACCUGCCACGAGGUCGGGACGUGUUGUUUACUCAAUGCAUGGGAGAACUCAGAUGGCCUCUCCCUGCUUAGCACACAAAUUCCAAAUGCCGCUAGCACCCAAGGCCUUCCCAGCCUUGCCUCAGUCUGCUUUCCAGUCUCCUCUUCCAACUCUCUUCUUCUUCCUCCCCUGUCUACCCGCACUUUAGUAACUGAACUAAUCCUGUGUGCCUUCAGUGCUGCAGAAUAUUUGCCCCCAGGGAUUUCUUUCCAGAAAUGCCUUUCUCCUCUCACUUUCUAUCUCCCAAUCAGAUAGUGGCCCAGCUUGGGACUUGACCUUCAAGGCCAACUCAGCAUCCCUCCUGUCUCUCUCCAUCCCUGAUCAUCAGGUAUAAUUGACUGCUUUCUCCUCCACUUCUCCCGCUAGCAAUACUCACAGUGAAUGUCAUGGUAAGGUGUUUAUUUGCCACUGAUGGGCGGGUAGUAGAGGAACAAUGGAAUUUUACAUUUUAGGAGGCUUGUUCCUUAUAAUUAUCUUAGCUCUUUUAUAAAGCACUGAUAGGUAACAAAAUUACAGGUUUGAACUCAGAAAGCUUGCAAAGUUUUUGUUUUUGUUUUGUUUUUAGGAUAACUUUAGGGAGAUUUCUAAGUAUUGUAUAGGUUCAGUUAACCAACAUAACAUGUUUUUUAGGAGUAUAAACAUUAUAGAGAUGUCUGCCGACUAAUUAGUAUGUCGAUUGUAGUUUUAAUCGUGAAAAUUGGGGUGGGAACAGCUAAAGGCAGAGCUAACUGGUUUUUUCCCAGGUAUUUAUCAUGAGUUGUGUGCCUUAGGCUGUGUUCCCUUUUGAAUGUGGUUUUUCUGGUUGUUCUGACAGCACUGCUAAGUGUGCCCUUUGACAUUACUGGAGAACUAAUUUAUAUUGAUGGUGCCACUCAUAUCUUUGGAAACUGGAUAUGUUCUGAUCAGCUCAUUGAUUUCUAACCUGUAGGAUUACAGUAAAAUUUAGACCUGAGGCACCACCCAGAAACUCCUGCUGCUGUAUGUGGCCUGAAUGAAUCAAAAUAUGCUUGGACAGCUCAUUAUUUAACAGAAAACUCUGCCUUUGGCUUUUGAAGAGCAGAUGUCCAAAUGUAACUUGUCAGCCUGAUUUUUGGAAGCUUGAGCAAGGGGAACCUGGUUAUCUCAGACCAUUUCGUAAUUAUAAAGAAAGUGAAUUGAAGGAUCAGGAAGUAAGUGAAUUGAAGGAUCAGGAAGUAAGGGAAUUGCCUAACAAUAGGAGAUGCACCACGCCCAGUGCUGAGAGAGGUAGACUAUAUCACGCUUAAUAAAACUGUCUGAAUGAGUGAUGGACUACUCCCAUAUCCUCUAAAGGAGGUAGUCUGACUCCUACAGAAACAGCUCCAUUUUGAUUUUAGGAGGUGGUUGUGAUAUAAGACUUACCAUCUUAAUUCUGCCAUCAGUUGCAAUCAGCAUUAAUUGCAAAUCUCUUUCUGACAAAAAUUCAAGUCCAGGCAGGGUGCAAUGGCUCACGCCUGUAAUUCCAGCACUUUGGGAGGCUGAGGUGGGCAGAUCACUUGAAAAGGAGUUCAAAACCAGCCUGACCAACAUGGUGAAACCCUGUCU